Molecule: ribosomal RNA, 1087 nt
Filed under: Chryseobacterium piscicola
Lineage: Bacteria; Pseudomonadati; Bacteroidota; Flavobacteriia; Flavobacteriales; Weeksellaceae
Description: bacterial SSU rRNA
Rfam family: Bacterial small subunit ribosomal RNA
Source: RNAcentral
AUGGCAUCAUUUGAUAUUGAAAACUCCGGUGGAUAGAGAUGGGCACGCGCAAGAUUAGAUAGUUGGUGAGGUAACGGCUCACCAAGUCAGUGAUCUUUAGGGGGCCUGAGAGGGUGAUCCCCCACACUGGUACUGAGACACGGACCAGACUCCUACGGGAGGCAGCAGUGAGGAAUAUUGGACAAUGGGUGAGAGCCUGAUCCAGCCAUCCCGCGUGAAGGACGACGGUUUUAUGGAUUGUAAACUUCUUUUAUACUGGGAUAAACCUACCCUCGUGAGGGUAGCUGAAGGUACAGUAUGAAUAAGCACCGGCUAACUCCGUGCCAGCAGCCGCGGUAAUACGGAGGGUGCAAGCGUUAUCCGGAUUUAUUGGGUUUAAAGGGUCCGUAGGCGGAUCUGUAAGUCAGUGGUGAAAUCUCAUAGCUUAACUAUGAAACUGCCAUUGAUACUGCAGGUCUUGAGUAAAGUAGAAGUGGCUGGAAUAAGUAGUGUAGCGGUGAAAUGCAUAGAUAUUACUUAGAACACCAAUUGCGAAGGCAGGUCACUAUGUUUUAACUGACGCUGAUGGACGAAAGCGUGGGGAGCGAACAGGAUUAGAUACCCUGGUAGUCCACGCCGUAAACGAUGCUAACUCGUUUUUGGGUUUUCGGAUUCAGAGACUAAGCGAAAGUGAUAAGUUAGCCACCUGGGGAGUACGUUCGCAAGAAUGAAACUCAAAGGAAUUGACGGGGGCCCGCACAAGCGGUGGAUUAUGUGGUUUAAUUCGAUGAUACGCGAGGAACCUUACCAAGGCUUAAAUGGGAAUUGACAGGUUUAGAAAUAGACUUUUCUUCGGACAAUUUUCAAGGUGCUGCAUGGUUGUCGUCAGCUCGUGCCGUGAGGUGUUAGGUUAAGUCCUGCAACGAGCGCAACCCCUGUCACUAGUUGCCAUCAUUCAGUUGGGGACUCUAGUGAGACUGCCUACGCAAGUAGAGAGGAAGGUGGGGAUGACGUCAAAUCAUCACGGCCCUUACGCCUUGGGCCACACACGUAAUACAAUGGCCAGUACAGAGGGCAGCUACCAGGCGACUGGAUGCGAAUCUCGAAA